CCUGAACGCUGGCGGCGUGGCUAAGACAUGCAAGUCGCACGGAGGUAGCAAUACCUUAGUGGCGAACGGGUGAGUAAUGAAUCGCUAAUGUGCCCCGGACUCUGGGAUAGCUGCCCGAAAGGGCAGGUAAUACCAGAUGAUAUAACCGAACCGCAUGGUUUGGUUCUCAAAGGUCCGCCGGUCUGGGAGCAGGCGAUUUCGUAUCAGCUAGUUGGUGAGGUAACGGCNCACCAAGGCGACGACGCGUAGCCGGACUGAGAGGUUGGCCGGCCACAUUGGGACUGAGACACUGCCCAGACUCCGUACGGGGGGCUGCAGUAACGAAUCUUCCGCAAUGCACGAAAGUGUGACGGAGCGACGCCGCGUGUAGGACGAAGCCC
Molecule: ribosomal RNA, 380 nt
Filed under: uncultured bacterium
Lineage: Bacteria
Description: bacterial SSU rRNA
Rfam family: Bacterial small subunit ribosomal RNA
Source: RNAcentral